AUGUUGUAUGAAAGGAGAAAAGGUGAGAACUUCCUUUGACAAAGUUGGAAGAGGCUCUCGGGCUUGACAACACGCAUGUGGUUAAGGCAUUGCCACCUACUUUGUGGUAGCUAACCACUGUUUUUU
This is a small nuclear RNA of Bison bison bison, 126 nucleotides long. NCBI's taxonomy places the organism in Eukaryota, Metazoa, Chordata, Mammalia, Artiodactyla, Bovidae. The record is from Ensembl.